RNAcentral lists this ribosomal RNA (3358 nucleotides) under Nitrospirae bacterium RIFCSPLOWO2_02_FULL_62_14. RNAcentral describes it as "bacterial LSU rRNA". It matches the Rfam family "Bacterial large subunit ribosomal RNA", at positions 1 to 2531 of the family's 2925-position model. The record is from RNAcentral. Lineage: Bacteria; Pseudomonadati; Nitrospirota.
AGCAAAUGUGUUUGUUAAGCUACUAAGGGUGUACGGUGGAUGCCUUGGCAUCAGGAGGCGAUGAAGGGCGUAGCUAGCUGCGAUAAGCCCCGGGGAGCCGCAAGCAGGCCGUGAUCCGGGGAUGCCCGAAUGGGGAAACCCAGGCGAUGAAUGCCGCCUAUCCUCCACUGAAUACAUAGGUGGAGCGAAGCCUACGCAGGGAAGUGAAACAUCUCAGUACCUGUAGGAAAAUAAAGCAAACCGCGAUUCCCCCAGUAGUGGCGAGCGAAAAGGGAAUAGCCCAAACCUCAUCGAUGUCAAGCUCGUGUGCGUUGUCGAUGGGGGGUUGAAGGCCUUUGCUGGACGGCGAUACGACGUUGUCGGCAAGUCAUAAACCAGGAUCAUAGCAGAACGACAUGGAAAGGUCGGCCAUAGCGGGUGACAGCCCCGUAUGCGAAAUGACCCUGGCUUGCUGGGCGAAGGUCCUGAGUACCACGGGGCCCGAGAAACCUUGUGGGAAUCUGGGAGGACCACCUUCCAAGGCUCAAUACUACCUGAUGACCGAUAGUGAACCAGUACCGUGAGGGAAAGGUGAAAAGAACCCCGGUGAGGGGAGUGAAAUAGAACCUGAAACCGUACACUUACAAGCAGCGAGAGGGCUAUGGCCCGCAAGGGCAAUGCCUGAUCGUGUGCCUUUUGCUUAAUGAGCCUGCGAGUUAUUCUGUGCAGCAAGGUUAAGCCGGAAAGGCGGAGCCGCAGCGAAAGCGAGUCCGAAAUGGGCGUUUAGUUGCAUAGAAUAGACCCGAAGCGAAGUGAUCUACCCAUGGCCAGGGUGAAUCCGCUGUAACAGGCGGAGGAGGCCCGAACUGAUGUUAGUUGCAAAUGGCUCGGAUGAGCUGUGGGUAGGGGUGAAAGGCCAAUCAAACUUCGUUAUUGCUGGUUCUCCCCGAAAUAACUAGAGGGUUAGCCUCGUGUUUGUCGUGGCGGAGGUAGAGCACUGGAUGGGCUAGGGGCGUUCCAACGCUACCGAACCCAACCAAACUCCGAAUGCCGCUACUGAUCGCACGGGAGUUAGACUACGAGUGCUAAGAUCCGUGGUCAAAAGGGAAAUAGCCCAGACCGCCAGCUAAGGUCCCGAAUCGUAAACUAAGUGGAAAAGGUUGUGGGGUCGCUCAGACAGCCAGGAGGUUGGCUUAGAAGCAGCCAUCCUUUAAAGAGUGCGUAACAGCUCACUGGUCGAGCGAGCCUGCGCCGAAAAUAUAACGGGGCUCAAGUUUACAACCGAAGCUGCGGACUUACCCGCAAGGGCUAAGUGGUAGGGGAGCAUUCUCUAGGCGGUGAAGGCGGAUCGACAAGAACCGCUGGAGCGUAGAGAAGAGAUUAUGCAGGCAUAAGUAGCGAUUAACAAUGUGAGAAUCAUUGUCCCCGUAAGCCUAAGGUUUCCUGGCCUAUGUUCGUCAGGUCAGGGUUAGCCGGAACCUAAGCCGAGGCCGAAAGGCGUAGGCGAUGGAAAACAGGUCAAUAUUCCUGUGCCAGCACGUGUGCGUUAUCAGCGAAGGGGGGACGCAGGAGGGUAGGCACCGCCGGGUCCCUGGAAUACCCGGUCCAAGCCCGUAGGCGGGUCGCGCAGGCAAAUCCGCGCGGCCGUUACCGCCGAGAAGUGAUGGGGAGGCCGCAAGGCCACAAACGGGCCGAUCCCACACUGCCGAGAAAAGCCUCGUAGCGAGUGCACGUGCUGUCCGUACCGCAAACCGACACAGGUAGGUGGGUGUAAUACACCAAGGGGCGUGAGAGAACUCUCCCUAAGGAACUCUGCCAUCUAACCCCGUAACUUCGGAAGAAGGGGUGCCUUGCGUAAGUGAAGCCGUACAGGCCGAGCUGAACAAGGUUGCAAUAAAGUGGCUCUAGCGACUGUUUACCAAAAACACAGGACUCUGCGAACACGCAAGUGGACGUAUAGGGUCUGACGCCUGCCCGGUGCUGGAAGGUUAAAUAGAGGGGUUAGCCGCAAGGCGACGCUCUGAAAUGAAGCCCCAGUAAACGGCGGCCGUAACUAUGGAACCGGACCACUGUAGUUCCGAGAACAAAUCUGGCUAUAUGCUGGAACACCCGGUGCAUCCUCCGGUACUCGCCGCGAAAUUGGCGGCAGUGACAAUCCGAGAGGUGCGGGCAAUCAGCAGGAAAGGCUGGAACCCAUGCUCAAAGUCCAGGACAUUCCCUCGGACAUCGGCCAUUAUAUGGCUGGAUUCACCGAUGGGGAAGGAAGCUUCAACGUGUCGUUCCGACCGCGGGACGAUUACAAGUUUCCAUGGAAGGUGUCUCUCUGCUUCAAUAUUUCCCAGCGUGAUUCCGUGAUCCUGGCGCUGUGUAAGCGCCAUCUCGGAUGCGGGACCAUGCGGCAGAGACACGAUGGAGUUUGGUACUAUGAGGUGAAUAAUCUCACUGCCAUCGUGGAAAACGUCAUCCCAUUCUUUGAGCGCUUUGGAUUUCUGUCCGCGAAGAAGAAGCGCGAUUUCUCCAAAUUCAAGCAACUGGCCGAAUGCAUGCGGCAGAGCAAGCACCUGACGCAGGAAGGAGUCGAAGAGAUCCUUCGGAUUCGGCUGGACAUGAACGACGGUGGGAAGCGCCGAUACAGCGACGCGGAAAUCCUCAGCCGGUUUCAGAAUCCUCAGAGACUAUAUGCCGGACCCGCAGAACCAUCAGCGGGAUGAGAUAGUCCGAUCUGCCUGGCGACAGGUAGAGCGCAUCAGAAAUGAGUGCGCCGCUCACGCAAGUGGGUUGCAACACAAUGAACGGUCCUAAGGUAGCGAAAUUCCUUGUCGGGUAAGUUCCGACCUGCAUGAAUGGCGUAACGACUGGAGUGCUGUCUCGGGGAGAGACUCAGCGAAUUUGUUGUUCCGGUGAAGAAGCCGGGUGCCCGCAACUAGACGGAAAGACCCUGUGCACCUUCACUACAACUUGACAUUGGAUGUUGGACGAGUAUGUGUAGCAUAGGUGGGAGACUGCGAAGCGGGGCCGCUAGGUCCCGUGGAGUCGCCAGUGAAAUACCACUCUUAGUUUUCCGACAUUCUAACUCGGCCCGGUCAUCCCGGGCGAAGACAGUGUCUGGUGGGUAGUUUGACUGGGGCGGUCGCCUCCCAAAAGGUAACGGAGGCGCUCAAAGGUUCCCUCAGGCUGGUCGGUAAUCAGCCGUCGAGUGCAAAGGCAGAAGGGAGCUUGACUGCGAGAGCGACAGCUCGAGCAGGGACGAAAGUCGGACUUAGUGAUCCGGUGGUUCUGAGUGGAAGGGCCAUCGCUCAACGGAUAAAAGGUACGCCGGGGAUAACAGGCUGAUCUCCCCCAAGAGUUCACAUCGACGGGGAGGUUUGGCACCUCGAUG